UACGUAGGGGGCAAGCGUUGUCCGGAUUUAUUGGGCGUAAAGCGCGGGUAGGCGGCGCGGUAUGUCGUGCGUGAAAUCUCCCGGCUUAACUGGGAGGGGCCGUGCGAAACUGCCGGGCUUGAGGUCGGAAGGGGAAAGUGGAAUUCCGGGUGUAGUGGUGGAAUACGUAGAUAUCCGGAGGAACACCAGCGGCGAAGGCGGCUUUCUGGUCCGAUACUGACGCUGAGGUGCGAAAGCGUGGGGAGCGAUCCGG
This 253-nucleotide ribosomal RNA is filed under the name uncultured bacterium. Its description in RNAcentral is "partial 16S ribosomal RNA". It matches the Rfam family "Bacterial small subunit ribosomal RNA", at positions 524 to 776 of the family's 1533-position model. The record is from RNAcentral.